UACGAAGGGGGCUAGCGUUGCUCGGAAUCACUGGGCGUAAAGCGCACGUAGGCGGAUUGUUAAGUCAGGGGUGAAAUCCUGGAGCUCAACUCCAGAACUGUCUUUGAUACUGGCGAUCUUGAGUCCGGGAGAGGUGAGUGGAACUGCGAGUGUAGAGGUGAAAUUCGUAGAUAUUCGCAAGAACACCAGUGGCGAAGGCGGCUCACUGGCCCGGUACUGACGCUGAAGUGCGAAAGCGUGGGGAGCAAACAGG
This 253-nucleotide ribosomal RNA is filed under the name uncultured bacterium. Its description in RNAcentral is "partial 16S ribosomal RNA". It matches the Rfam family "Bacterial small subunit ribosomal RNA", at positions 524 to 776 of the family's 1533-position model. The record is from RNAcentral.